Molecule: ribosomal RNA, 94 nt
Filed under: Arthrobacter sp. ISL-72
Lineage: Bacteria; Bacillati; Actinomycetota; Actinomycetes; Micrococcales; Micrococcaceae
Description: partial 16S ribosomal RNA
Rfam family: Bacterial small subunit ribosomal RNA
Source: RNAcentral
UCAACGGAGAGUUUGAUCCUGGCUCAGGAUGAACGCUGGCGGCGUGCUUAACACAUGCAAGUCGAACGAUGAUCCCCAGCUUGCUGGGGGGAUU